CAUUUCAUUUCAGAGAGCACACUCCCGCGAACCUCAUCCUUACAGUGGGAUUACCAGUCCAGGCUAAAUCCCCUAUAAUAUAAACUCAUAGAGUAUUGUCGGGAUUACCAGUCCAGGCUAAAUUCAGACCCUAAUUUGGAUUACCCGUCCGGGCUAAAUCCAUUUUACACGUAUUCUUCGGGAGGGCUAUAUCAGAAUAGGAUCACCCGUCCGGGCUAGAUCCUUUUUACCGUCAAUUCCUUUUUAGAGAUCCAUCGAAUUUUCCUUUCAUUCAACCGGGAUUUAUUUUCAAUUUAUAUCGAGUAUUAUCAAUAUUUCAUC
Molecule: long non-coding RNA, 321 nt
Filed under: Gossypium barbadense (sea-island cotton)
Lineage: Eukaryota; Viridiplantae; Streptophyta; Magnoliopsida; Malvales; Malvaceae
Description: long non-coding RNA (GBAR_LNC001671)
Source: RNAcentral